CAUGUCUUUUUGAAAUUUAAUUUAAGGUYUAAUUUGCUCCAUGAUAAUAUUUUAAAUAGCUGCAGUAUUUUGACUGNUACAAAGGUAGCAUAAUCAAUAGUUUUUUAAUUAAAAGCUGGAAUGAAUGAUUUUAUGAAAUAAUUUCUGUCUCAAAUUAAAUAAUUUUAUAAUUUUUUUUUUAGUUAAAAUACUAAAAUAUUUUUAAAAGACGAGAAGACCCUAUAGAAUUUUAUAAUUAAAAAAAAAAUAAAUUAAAUUAAUUUUUUUUAAUUAUUAAAUUGGGGAAAUUAUUAAAUUUAAUAAAUUUUAAAUAUUUUAUACCNAAAAAUUAUUGAUUAUUUGAUUUAUAAAUGUUUAAAUAUAAGAAUAAAUUACCUUAGGGAUAACAGCGUAAUUUUUUUAGAGAGAUCUUAUUAAUAAAAAAGUUUGCGACCUCGAUGUUGAAUUAAAAUAAAAUUUUAAUGAARAAGUUAAAAAUUUUUGGUCUGUUCGACCAUUAAUAUUUUAC
RNAcentral lists this ribosomal RNA (508 nucleotides) under Cubocephalus sp. 2 BFS-2018. Its description in RNAcentral is "partial 16S large subunit ribosomal RNA". Lineage: Eukaryota; Metazoa; Arthropoda; Insecta; Hymenoptera; Ichneumonidae. The record is from RNAcentral.